AACACCGCGUGAGUGAAGAAGGGUUUCGGCUCGUAAAACUCUGUUGUUGGAGAAGAACGUGCGUAAGAGUAACUGUUUACGCAGUGACGGUAUCCAACCAGAAAGUCACGGCUAACUACGUGCCAGCAGCCGCGGUAAUACGUAGGUGGCAAGCGUUAUCCGGAUUUAUUGGGCGUAAAGCGAGCGCAGGCGGUUGCUUAGGUCUGAUGUGAAAGCCUUCGGCUUAACCGAAGAAGUGCAUCGGAAACCGGGCGACUUGAGUGCAGAAGAGGACAGUGGAACUCCAUGUGUAGCGGUGGAAUGCGUAGAUAUAUGGAAGAACACCAGUGGCGAAGGCGGCUGUCUGGUCUGCAACUGACGCUGAGGCUCGAAAGCAUGGGUAGCGAACAGGAUUAGAUACCCUGGUAGUCCAUGCCGUAAACGAUGAGUGCUAGGUGUUGGAGGGUUUCCGCCCUUCAGUGCCGAAGCUAACGCAUUAAGCACUCCGCCUGGGGAGUACGACCGCAAGGUUGAAACUCAAAGGAAUUGACGGGGGCCCGCACAAGCGGUGGAGCAUGUGGUUUAAUUCGAAGCUACGCGAAGAACCUUACCAGGUCUUGACAUCUUGCGCCAACCUCAGAGAUGAGGCGU
Molecule: ribosomal RNA, 630 nt
Filed under: Limosilactobacillus oris
Lineage: Bacteria; Bacillati; Bacillota; Bacilli; Lactobacillales; Lactobacillaceae
Description: bacterial SSU rRNA
Rfam family: Bacterial small subunit ribosomal RNA
Source: RNAcentral